UACGUAGGGUCCGAGCGUUGUCCGGAAUUAUUGGGCGUAAAGGGCUCGUAGGCGGUUUGUCGCGUCGGGAGUGAAAACACGGGGCUUAACCCCGUGCCUGCUUCCGAUACGGGCAGACUAGAGGUAUGCAGGGGGAGGAACGGAAUUCCUGGUGUAGCGGUGAAAUGCGCAGAUAUCAGGAGGAACACCGGUGGCGAAGGCGGUCUCUGGGCAUUACCUGACGCUGAGGAGCGAAAGUGUGGGGAGCGAACAGG
RNAcentral lists this ribosomal RNA (254 nucleotides) under uncultured bacterium. Its description in RNAcentral is "partial 16S ribosomal RNA". It matches the Rfam family "Bacterial small subunit ribosomal RNA", at positions 524 to 776 of the family's 1533-position model. The record is from RNAcentral.